Molecule: long non-coding RNA, 864 nt
Filed under: Homo sapiens (human)
Lineage: Eukaryota; Metazoa; Chordata; Mammalia; Primates; Hominidae
Description: HSALNT0178033
Source: RNAcentral
GUUUCACCGUGUUAGCCAGGAUGGUCUCGAUCUCCUGACCUCGUGAUCCGCCCGCCUCGGCCUCCCAGAGCGCUGGGAAUUCAGAUAACCAUCUCUUAGAGAAGGCUGAGCUGCUGGACAAGUUCUCAAAGAAGCUGCAGCCGGAGCCAAACAGUGUCACUCCCACCACCCACCAGGGCCCCUGGGAGGAGUCAGAGCUUGACUCAGACCAAGUCCCAUCACUGGUCGCACUGAGGGUGAAGUGGCAGGAGGAGGAGGAGGGGCUCCGGCUGGUCUGUGGUGAGAUUCACAGGAAGUUGGAAGGAUAGUCCAGAGUUCCUGCAUCCCCUUCCCCCAGCAUCUCCUGCUGGCUACAUCUUACAUAACUAUAGUACCCACAACCAGGAAACUGGGAUUGGUAUGAAGUGUGUAUAUGUCCUUUGUCAUUUUAUCACGUGUAGAUUUGUGUAACCAUCAAGAUAUGGCACUGUUUCACCACUGCAAAGAUCUCUUUCUUAUUACCCCUUUUUAGUCACAUUCACCCCUCUCCCCCCAACCAUCCCUAACCCCUGGCAAGUACUAAUCUGUUUUCCACUUCUACUACUUGAAUUUUGAAAGGCAUACAAUAAAAUAUUGAAUGGUACAACACAACAUAAAUGAAAGCAAGUGACAAGUGAGAAAGUGGAGGUGGUGAUCAGAUUGCUCAGUGGUGAAAAGAAUUAUGUUAUAAAUGGGGCCAACUAUGAAUAAAGGUGCCCCAACCCGCAUGUGCAGAUUCCUUCUUCGCAGACUCACUCACAUAGCGCGUCAUGUCAGUGCAGGUGGCAGCGCCAACCGUGCUCCUCAGUCUGUCCUCACCAGGCCCACGUGAGAACACAGGAACAG